Long non-coding RNA from Tachysurus fulvidraco (yellow catfish), 1204 nucleotides. RefSeq lists it as uncharacterized. The record is from RefSeq and is a predicted model, not a curated record. The transcript has 2 exons. NCBI's taxonomy places the organism in Eukaryota, Metazoa, Chordata, Actinopteri, Siluriformes, Bagridae.
AGAAGGGUUUGAAGGUUUUAAAGUCCAUAAAUGGUGGCGGUGUUUCUUUGAAAGCAAAGAGAACAUAAGGGAAGAAAGAAGUUCUAGUUCUUCCCUUCCUUGUCUACCACCCACAAGAACAUAUGCUUGAGCAUCUGCUUGAAACUCUUAACCCAUCUAUCAGUCUGUGGGGGGUAGUUUUACAUCCUAAAGUGUUUUAACUGCAACAAACUGCACAGAUCAGAUAUUAGUCAAGAGACAAAGGUCACACCUUGGUCAGUGAGAAGGUCCUUUUUGAAUUCUUACCUGGCUAAAGAGGAUCACAAGUUUCCUGGUAAUAUUCCAGGAGAAGUGUUCUCAAAGGAAAAUAGGAUUUGUAUUACCUAGGUGACCACAAGAUGAAUGCUAGUGGGCCAGGUACACCAGCAAUGUGUUUAUCAGAGGAGCAUGAGGAAAUUACAGACAGGCCCCAUCAUUGCCAUAUGCAGGAAGUGGGGGGAAACAACCUAUAUCUGUAGCACUUGCCUCAAGCAAUGCUUUAGCUGUGUUUUUUUCAUAACUGAGUUUGCCCUUACUAGUCGCCUUGGUUAAUACAAGGUUGCCCUUUUUGGUCUUCUCUGGCUCCUAAUUCUGAUUGGGAUUUGUUGCAGUAGAUAGUUUGGGCACUAGGCUUACCAGGAAUAGCCACUUAUGAGAGUGAAUCCCCACCAAACCUCAGCAGCAGGAACCUCCCUGAUGUCCACAUGCAUGCAGGAGUCUAAAAGGCCCACAUCCUGGCAGCAUGGAGCUGGGUAACUGAGCAAUGUCCUCCAUUUUGACAACUUUGGAAGGAGUGUGCCUCUUAGGAUGAAGGUGGUGGAAGGGGUGAAGUCGUGGGCCUAGUCCCUCUCAGGCCAGCACUCAGCCAUGGGGAGGAAGACAGCCUCAACCUGUGUUCAGUGGUAAUCUUCUUGCUGCUGGACAGUGGCAGUUUUGAGUCUGCAAAGAGAAAAGGAUUCUGCACUUGAGGAUUGCUUUAGGGAACUCCUGAAGAGGCGUACUGCAGGCGCCUUGGAGGCUGUUAACCUCACCUUGGCAAUGAGCGUGAGAGGAUGCGGGAGUUCACCGUGAGCCGCCUCAAUGCUGGAAUCAGAGUGAUUGGACACGUGGAAAUUGAGAGAACUUAUUAUUAUUUGUGUUAGAGAACACUGCUAUUAUAGUUGAAUAGUAAAAUUAUAUUGUUGGA